CCAAUUACCUAAAAUUUGGAUCCAUCUCUUCAUCUUCAGCGCCCAACCUUACUUUCCAACGCAAAAACGCUCUGAAGAUCAAGAGAACAGUGGCCGCGCAAAACCGGCGAGGACAAAUUUGGAAAGCUGAUCUUCUGAAGCAUAAUCGAUUCAAUACUUGGAAGAAUCGAGCUUCUCAUCGGUAACUUCGAGUAAUCAAGCAUUUCCAAGGAGAGCCAUCGCCGCUGGAGUUCCGGAACCACCUCCCCUUCGUACUCUCCUUCUUGACUCUCUGUUUCCCCGCUUCACUUGCUGGAACUAUAAGUUUGAAGUUAUUGCCGGCUCUCGUGGAAGACAAAUUGAAAAGAGUAAUAUAAUGGGAUCAAAGAGACGAGAUGAUAAUGCUGUAGAUGAGGAAGAGUUAGCUCCAGAAAUAAAGAGGCAGAAAUUACUUGGGGAAUUCUCACCUUCUUCUCCUCCACCGGCCUCAGAGAACCCUCGGCUUCCUGGUUUUAACUAUGGUGAUGAUGAUGAAGAAGAAGAUUACAAAUUUAAACAAAAUGGAAGCAGAAAUGGUGGAGAUGGAGGGGACGACAAUGACGAUGAGGAAGAUGAUGAAUACGAUGAUGAUGCCAAUCACGUAAAGCGAAGCCGUGAUGUUGAAGUUCGAAAAGAUUGUCCUUAUCUCGAUACUGUAAACCGUCAGGUUUUGGAUUUUGAUUUUGAGAAGUUUUGCUCUGUCUCUCUGUCAAAUCUGAAUGUUUAUGCCUGCCUGGUAUGCGGCAAGUACUAUCAAGGGAGAGGGAAGAAAUCUCAUGCUUACACUCACAGUCUCGAAGCAGGACACCAUGUGUAUAUCAACCUUCGGACGGAGAAAGUUUACUGCCUUCCUGAUGGCUAUGAGAUUAACGACCCCUCAUUAGAUGAUAUUCGCUAUGUCUUGAAUCCAAGGUUUACCAAAGAGCAGGUAGAGCUGCUUGACAAGAACAAGCAAUGGUCUAGGGCACUUGAUGGAUCUGAUUAUCUUCCUGGAAUGGUGGGGCUUAACAACAUUAAGGAAACAGAUUUUGUAAAUGUGACAAUUCAAUCCUUAAUGAGGGUUACUCCACUCAGGAACUUCUUCCUAAUACCCGAGAACUAUCAGCACUGCAAAUCUCCACUUGUCCACCGGUUUGGUGAACUCACACGUAAGAUUUGGCAUGCAAGGAACUUCAAAGGACAGGUAAGUCCGCAUGAAUUUCUGCAAGCAGUUAUGAAGGCUAGUAAAAAACGUUUCCGAAUAGGUGCACAAUCAGAUCCUGUUGAAUUCAUGUCAUGGUUUCUUAACACACUUCAUUCAGAACUGCGAAUGUCAAAGAAAAGUAGCAGUAUAAUCUACGAAUGUUUCCAGGGGGAAUUGGAGGUUGUGAAAGAGAUUCACUCAAAAGCUCUCACUGAGAAGAAAGAAAAUGGUGACGAUCAGGAUGCUGGAAGUGAAGGAAGCAGCGUCAUAAUGGAAACUUCUAGAAUGCCAUUCUUAAUGCUUGGAUUGGAUUUACCACCACCACCUCUUUUCAAAGAUGUUAUGGAGAAAAAUAUUAUACCACAGGUUCCGCUCUUCAACAUUUUGAAGAAAUUUGAUGGUGAAGCUAUCACAGAAGUUGUCCGUCCACGUAUAGCAAGGAUGCGCUACCGUGUCACUCGAUUGCCUCAGUAUUUAAUUCUUCAUAUGCGACGAUUUACAAAGAACAACUUUUUCGUGGAGAAGAAUCCCACACUAGUGAACUUCCCUGUCAAGAAUCUGGAAUUGAAGGAUUACAUCCCCUUGCCAACACCUAAAGAGAAUGAAAAAUUGCGUUCAAAGUACGAUUUGAUUGCAAAUAUUGUCCAUGACGGCAAACCCGACGAAGGGUGCUACAGGGUGUUUGUACAGAGGAAGUCAGAAGAAUUAUGGUACGAGAUGCAGGAUCUUCAUGUCUCAGAAACACUUCCUCAAAUGGUUGCUCUCUCCGAGGCUUAUAUGCAGAUAUAUGAACGGCAGCAAUAGACAGGAAGUUCGAUGUCCACAUCUAACUGCAUAUUUAGUUGGUUUGUUCGUUCCCCCUCUAGAAGAUAUGUCCCUGUACUUGAACAGGAGAGAUUGGAGAGAAGAUGAGUUUUGAAAUGAAUCAAUUGUCAUUCUGGACAAUGCUGCACACUCAUUUCAGUAAAGCAGGUAAAAAAUUUGUUCCCCAACUUACUUUUAAGUUUUAUGUGACAUAUCAUUGAUAUACUAGGACUGUAAUUUUCAUCAGUAGGAAAUUAGGCUUGAAAAGUUUUCAAUGCAGCCUGCAACUUUGGUUAACUUUGGAUUGGAGGACUUGUAUUUGCAGAGUUGUGACUGCGUUUCAAAAGCUUUGGUUCAUGGCUGCAUUUUUUACUCAUAAGUGGUAUGUGGAUCCCAAUGUCUCUCUUAGUAUCGUUCAACCAUACCAUAAUUUUGACUGUUGCAUAUUAUAUCAAACUUGUUUACUUUAUAUUAGGCAAUUUGGAUUA
Molecule: non-coding RNA, 2493 nt
Organism: Momordica charantia (bitter melon)
Lineage: Eukaryota; Viridiplantae; Streptophyta; Magnoliopsida; Cucurbitales; Cucurbitaceae
Source: RefSeq, a predicted model, not a curated record